GGGGAUAUGGCGGAAUUGGUAGACGCUACGGACUUAAUUUCCGUUGACUUUUAAAAUCGUGAGGGUUCAAGUCCCUCUAUCCCCA
This 85-nucleotide transfer RNA is filed under the name Raphanus sativus var. raphanistroides. RNAcentral's name for it is "tRNA-Leu". It matches the Rfam family "tRNA". From Rfam's summary of the family: Transfer RNA (tRNA) molecules are approximately 80 nucleotides in length. The record is from RNAcentral. Lineage: Eukaryota; Viridiplantae; Streptophyta; Magnoliopsida; Brassicales; Brassicaceae.